RNAcentral lists this ribosomal RNA (490 nucleotides) under uncultured bacterium. RNAcentral's name for it is "partial 16S ribosomal RNA". It matches the Rfam family "Bacterial small subunit ribosomal RNA", at positions 30 to 507 of the family's 1533-position model. The record is from RNAcentral.
AUUGAACGCUGGCGGCAGGCCUAACACAUGCAAGUCGAACGGUAACAGGAGGCAGCUUGCUGCUUCGCUGACGAGUGGCGGACGGGUGAGUAAUGUCUGGGAAACUGCCUGAUGGAGGGGGAUAACUACUGGAAACGGUAGCUAAUACCGCAUAACGUCGCAAGACCAAAGAGGGGGACCUUAGGGCCUCUUGCCAUCGGAUGUGCCCAGAUGGGAUUAGCUAGUAGGUGGGGUAACGGCUCACCUAGGCGACGAUCCCUAGCUGGUCUGAGAGGAUGACCAGCCACACUGGAACUGAGACACGGUCCAGACUCCUACGGGAGGCAGCAGUGGGGAAUAUUGCACAAUGGGCGCAAGCCUGAUGCAGCCAUGCCGCGUGUAUGAAGAAGGCCUUCGGGUUGUAAAGUACUUUCAGCGGGGAGGAAGGGAGUAAAGUUAAUACCUUUGCUCAUUGACGUUACCCGCAGAAGAAGCGCCGGCUAACUCCGUG